UUGUGGAGGAGGACGCCGAAGGUGGGGCUGAUGACUGGGGUGAAGUCGUAACAAGGUAGCCGUACCGGAAGGUGCGGCUGGAUCACCUCUAACAGGGAGACAAAACUGAUCGUGAUGUCUAAGUAAAUUAUUCUUAGGCCAUGAUCCUGUCACCUUAGGUCGAUCGGUACCUCUGAUUAAUAAGCAAAUUAGGAGAUGAUUAAAUAAGUUUCCUUCUUUGUAAUUGAUUUCAGUUCCUAAACUUGUCUAGGUCACACCCCGCAAGUGUUACUCCUGGGCCAUUAGCUCAGGUGGUUAGAGCGCACCCCUGAUAAGGGUGAGGUCCCUGGUUCAAGUCCAGGAUGGCCCAUUCGGUGUUGGGGGUUUAGCUCAGUUGGUAGAGCGCCUGCUUUGCAAGCAGGAUGUCAGCGGUUCGAGUCCGCUAACCUCCACUGGCCAACCUCCUGCAGCGUGCCAAUUUGAGAACUAUUGCGUGGAUGUGAUUUGGAUUUUCAGCUGAAGGAACCUAGCUUCCUAUCAUUCCAUCUCUAAACAUUGAGAAGGCUGACAGGAUGCUGGGCUCAUUGUAUUUCUUUCGAAUUACACUAAAUUCAGCAGAACCUUGACAACUGCAUAGGUGAGUCUGGAAAAGAAUAAAGCAUCUCAUGGAUGCAUUGUUCUAUUGAUAAAGAUGUUGAAUUCUAAGAAAUUAGAACAAUAUUUUUCUUUAGAAUAAUGUUUAAUUCUUGAGCAAGAGUCGAGACUCUAUAGUUUACUUUUAACACUAUUAAUGUGUUAAAAAAUCGUGUAAAAUACGAAACUAAAUUAUAGAGUAAAAUGGUCAAGCUACAA
This 831-nucleotide unclassified non-coding RNA is filed under the name uncultured Prochlorococcus sp. Its description in RNAcentral is "partial 16S-23S ribosomal RNA intergenic spacer; may also contain 16S ribosomal RNA and 23S ribosomal RNA". The stretch from base 359 to 431 matches the Rfam family "tRNA". Lineage: Bacteria; Bacillati; Cyanobacteriota; Cyanophyceae; Synechococcales; Prochlorococcaceae. The record is from RNAcentral.